Molecule: long non-coding RNA, 541 nt
Organism: Daucus carota subsp. sativus
Lineage: Eukaryota; Viridiplantae; Streptophyta; Magnoliopsida; Apiales; Apiaceae
Exons: 3
Source: RefSeq, a predicted model, not a curated record
ACAGAUGCACCUGCAAUUCCAGAUGAAAAUUAACUGAAUCAGGCACUGAAAAUUGAACGGCUGCCAGAGCAGGUUGAGAACUUUACAUUUCUCAACAUAAAAGUGGAACGCGACUUGCAAUACAAGAUUACAACUAGAUACAGCGCAUCAGACUUCAGGAAUUACUAUCCUGUUUGUGAUAAAUAUCAUGAGGAAAUGGAAGUUGAUAAAGAGGGUGGCAGAGCAAAGUCCCGGUGACCAGCACUGUCGAGAGCUUGUCUUCCCCAUACCCUGCAAAUUUUAUGCUCUCCUCCCUGUUAAAGAACUCCGUCAACGGAUCAUUCUUGUCAUCAACUCCAGUCCUUACCGCGAAGGCUGCAGGACCGCAUAUGACACAAAAUACAACUAGAAAGAGGAUGCUUUUACUCAUGAUGAGAAAUGUUUGUGUUUGUGUUUGUAUUGAAACUCCUUGUUUCUAGCUUUUUGUAUUGGUUUGUGACUUCGUGUAUGAUAAACUUAGAACCAACGUAACAAUGAAAACUUACCUUCCUCUCUUUGUGAA